Long non-coding RNA from Venturia canescens, 2076 nucleotides. RefSeq lists it as uncharacterized. The transcript has 2 exons. The record is from RefSeq and is a predicted model, not a curated record. Lineage: Eukaryota; Metazoa; Arthropoda; Insecta; Hymenoptera; Ichneumonidae.
GCGUGAGUGGUAGUACGUCGCGUUCGCGUACGGUGCGAGCGCGACGUUCCGAUCCCUCCGUCCUGUAGUAACGAAUAGAAUUAAACAUAUUUUUUAACUGUUAUACAUCAAAGAUAUCGAGACCGAAAAAGACUUUUUUUUUUUGUAUAGCUGAAAAUUAUGAUGACGAAAAAUUCGAAGGAGAAAAAUCUGAAAAAACCGGCAAAAUUAUGACAGUUCUACGAUGCCAUAACUAAGAACCUAGCCUUCAAUACUCGUACGUCGCGCGAAGGGUGAACGAGUGGAAGUCCGGCAGCAAUUGGGUUUUCUUUUUUUCUGAGGGUCGGUGUUGUUGGACGCGACGACGACGAGGAACCGCGGACGCCGUCGUCGUCGUCGUCACUAUUAACAAAAUAAAAACGCGAUAUUAGUGUUUCUUCUGUCGGGGCGGAGAACCGCCGGGCCGCAUAUCGUGUAGUGGCGGCCGGUGUUACAUAUUUCUCUCGUUAUAUAUUCUUUCGAUCGCUCAAUUGCCGCAAAAAGUAUAAGAAUUCAUGAUUCGAACAAACGAAUGAUGAAUGGGCGAAAAAGCAAUCUUGAGAAAAGUCACGAAUAAUAGAAAAUGAAACGUAUUCUGAAUUUAUGAGACUGGUGGUUUGUAAUUAUCGUUGCGUCGUUUGCGCUGAGAGUGCUGAGACCGGACCACGGCUAUUUGGUGCGGCGAUAACCAACCAUCAUAACUGCAAGAUCUCGGGAUUGUAUAGUCGUCGUCGUCGUCCUCGUGUGUUUCACGAAUCUUGUAGAUAGCGGAUCGCUGUUCGGCUUCGCGGCUAUUGUACCGGAGUACCGGCGCUUACUCCCACUCCCACUCACUCCUAGUCCACGAAGCCGUCGUUUCUUUCAAUUUGAUAAUGCGACGUCGGCGUAGAUCGCGCUGCGAUCGCGUUAUACCUGCCGCUCCGUCGAUGAACCAAAUUAAAAUAAAAACCACAUAAAAACUGACUAAAGAAGAUUUUUCUAUUAAAAUUCGAGUAAAGAAAAGAUUGAAGUUUUCCUAUCACAAGUAUAUAACAAAGAGCAAAACGUCCAGCACAAACUUGUUCACUUAGCAGUACGAAAGGACCCCUUUCGUACAGAGUUUACACUGCGUAUACACCAAAAUCGGAAACUACAGCGAUAUGUAUAUAAAUAUAUAUAUAUAUGCGUGUACAUGUUACACGUACACGAUUUUAUCGGUAGCGGGGCAAGUGAGUGGGAGGUUGGAAGGAAAAGUCUACGAGGUCUGUUGCCAUGGUGACACCCCUAAACAGCAUUCGUCGACAGUUUCCCCUCAUCCGCCUGAUCCGCCUUCGGUCUUCGGUGCUCUUUCACUCUGCUUUUGCUGCGUGCUUUUUCUCCGUAUAUAUAAACACCACAGUAUACAGGAGGAGGACGCAUUUUGUCAUCCAUCUUUGGUGUACGACGCGGGGACGCGCCAAGUCCUUUGCAACGUGCCUCCUGCGUUUGAUAUUAUACUUGACUCUUGCCAGUCGAAUGGCUAUGCGACUUGAAAACGGUCGAGUAUAGUAAGAGUAGUACGUACGACGGAGCAGUGACAAGAAGCCGCGAGGACGAUAUUAUAAUGCACGAGACAACGAGUCAAUAUAUAUAUAUAUAUUAUACGAAGAGUUAAGGCUGGAGAGGGGAGAGACAGAGUAUAACAUUUUUUUGUUUUUUAAAUGAAAGAACGAGAGAGAUGCAAUUAUUUUUGUAAACUGUGAAACAGCAUCCUUGUUCGGUAGUUCAUUUUCACGGUCUUCGCUCCAUAGUUUUUUUGUUUUUGGUUUUAAUUUCAUCAGUUUUUUGAAUCUGCAGUCACGAGGCAAGCUGUGUACCCUCGAGGGAAACAAUUUACCGAGAAACAUGGUACAAGUAAUGAAUUAUAAUAGGAUGUUGGUAGCGUGGGUAGUGAAUGGGGGAUAAGAGAGGAUUUUCGAAGGGGACAUGUGGGUAGAACCGAUUUUCAACUCUUAGCGAGAUAUCCUCGACGGUGCCGAUCCUGCUUGGACGUAUGAAUAUACACAAAAUUAAAAAAAAAAAAAACCAUAUUUAACGGCA